This 497-nucleotide ribosomal RNA is filed under the name uncultured bacterium. RNAcentral describes it as "partial 16S ribosomal RNA". It matches the Rfam family "Bacterial small subunit ribosomal RNA", at positions 28 to 507 of the family's 1533-position model. The record is from RNAcentral.
GAUGAACGCUGGCGGCGUGCUUAACACAUGCAAGUCGAGCGAACGGACGAGAAGCUUCCUGCGCAGAUGUUAGCGGCGCACGGGUGAGUAACGCGGGGAUAAUCUACCUAUCAGACGGGGAUACCUUCGGGACACCGGCGCUAAUACCGGAUGAUAUUUUGAACCGCACGGUUCAAGAGUGAAAGACGGUCUUGCUGUCACCUAUAGAUGGAUCCGCGCUGCAUUAGCUAGUUGGUAAGGUAACGGCUUACCAAGGCAACGAUGCAUAGCCGGCCUGAGAGGGUGAGCGGCCACGCUAGAGCGGAGGCACGGUCCGGACUCCUACGGCAGGCCGCAGUAGGGCGUCUUGCGCCAUUGGCGAAUGCCUGACGGUGCGCCGCCGCGUGAGUCAGGAAGGUCGUCGGAUCGUAGACCGCUGUUAUUAUGGAAGAACAUAUGUGUAGGUAACUGGGCACAUCGUGACGGUACCUAGUCAGGAAGCCCCGGCUAACUACGUG